RNAcentral lists this long non-coding RNA (791 nucleotides) under Penaeus japonicus. Its description in RNAcentral is "uncharacterized LOC122251874". The record is from RNAcentral. Lineage: Eukaryota; Metazoa; Arthropoda; Malacostraca; Decapoda; Penaeidae.
GAAGCUAGAUAACUCUGGAUAUGCUGAAGGACUGAAGACUAUUUUGCGGUCGGAGAAAUUUCGGAAAAAAAGUUUUAUAUAUUUUUUUUCAAAGUGUCAAAGGUCAACUGGGUGUGCCAUGACACCUAAGCGUUGAGGAGUUGACACUAAGUGUUCAGUUUGAGAGUUCUUUAGGUUAUAGAAUCUCAAGUAAAGAAAAUGAGGUAGAGACACCACACGACCGGAGAGGAAAAACCGGAGGUCAACCUCGAGCCCUUAGACCGGUGCCAUUGCUCCACUUCGUUUGCUCGAGGAAUAGAUCUGACACUGAAUCUGACCUGAUCUGACCCAUAAAGAUAAGCUUUGCAUGGUUGAUAACGGCGAAAGAGUUCACCAAUGCAACGGCAGAGAGGCGGGAGAGGCCAAGCGCCCGCCCACAGAUGUUUGCUUCACCUGAUGAAUUUGUGGCGGCCAUGGGAUCAGACUGGAAAGCACGCAAGUUAAAACGUUUCUCUCAGUGACCUUCGGCUGGCCCCUCCUCCCCCUCCUCCCCUCCCACUAGCCCCCCUCCCCCCCCUCACUCGCCGACGCUGAAGAGGAAGAAGAAGCACUCAAGCAAACACACACUCAGCCACGCCCUUCCGACCUACUGCAGAGGCGAGGGAUGCUACGCUACCUGCCAGGGGUCUUUCUGCUCAGCAUAAUGAUGGGCAGCCGCUUGGCGAGAAGCCUGGACAACUGUCAAGGCGCCAGGUCCAUCGAGAUGCAAGGUCACCCUAUCUUGACCUCCAUCAUUCCGUGCUCCUAUAUAA